Molecule: ribosomal RNA, 119 nt
Filed under: Prolemur simus (greater bamboo lemur)
Lineage: Eukaryota; Metazoa; Chordata; Mammalia; Primates; Lemuridae
Source: RNAcentral
AUCUACGGCCACACCACCUUGAACGCGCCCGAUCUCGUCUGAUCUCGGAAGCUAAGCAGGGUCGGGCCCGGUUAGUACUUGGAUGGGAGAUCGCCUGGGAAUACCGGGUGCCGUGGGCU